RNAcentral lists this ribosomal RNA (324 nucleotides) under uncultured eukaryote. RNAcentral's name for it is "partial 18S ribosomal RNA". It matches the Rfam family "Eukaryotic small subunit ribosomal RNA", at positions 1470 to 1796 of the family's 1831-position model. The record is from RNAcentral.
CCCUUAGAUGUUCUGGGCUGCACGCGCGCUACACUGAAGCGUUCAACGAGUAUUCACCUUGCCCGGGAGGGUUGGGUAAUCUUUUGAAAACGCUUCGUGAUGGGGAUAGAUUAUUGCAAUUAUUAAUCUUCAACGAGGAAUUCCUAGUAAGCGCGAGUCAUCAGCUCGUGCUGAUUACGUCCCUGCCCUUUGUACACACCGCCCGUCGCACCUACCGAUUGAAUGGUCCGGUGAAAUCUCCGGACUGGCGUGAGUCGGAGCAAUCUGACAAACGCCGGAAAGUUGAUUAAACCUUACCAUUUAGAGGAAGGUGAAGUCGUAACA